AUUUAAAUAGUAUAAAUAUUAUUUUUGACUUCCAAUCAAAAGAUCUACAUUCUAGUUUAAAUA
This 63-nucleotide transfer RNA is filed under the name Scraptia sp. SCR01. RNAcentral's name for it is "tRNA-Gly". Lineage: Eukaryota; Metazoa; Arthropoda; Insecta; Coleoptera; Scraptiidae. The record is from RNAcentral.